Molecule: long non-coding RNA, 603 nt
Organism: Sinocyclocheilus grahami
Lineage: Eukaryota; Metazoa; Chordata; Actinopteri; Cypriniformes; Cyprinidae
Exons: 3
Source: RefSeq, a predicted model, not a curated record
GCGUCUAAAGCGCGGUGUCCAGCUCACUCCAAAAACAUUUUAGGUAACUUAAGAUAAAACGAGUCAAACAAUGAAGAAUAAACUAGCGAGCCGCACAUCGGCGUGAGGAGGAAAAUGUCGUUUUCUUAAGUUUCGAAUCGACACGAAAGGUAAAUAAAUAGUAAAGAGUUUAAUGAAAAUGUUUCGGUCUGUCCUGCUUCGCUCCUCCCAAUCCAAAAGCGGCACCUUCUUCUUCAAAACCGAGUCUCAUUCGCGCUCGAGACGCGGGAUUUCAAUCCGUCCCGCUCACGCGACCAGCGCGCGCUUAUUCCAUAUCUCCUGUCAAAGAGACUCUUGUGAUCCAGCAGAUGAAACCUAACCCUGCGCCAAAAAAUAAGCUUUCAAGCGGGACAUGCAGUAGUAUGCCGCUGUGAUGGAGUGAUUACAGAAACAGGCAAGACACAACAGGCACACAUGGGUGUGGGAAGAGAGCGAGAGUAGUUUGGGGUCUUGAUGCAAUAAUCCCACAUAAUAUUUCUAAGUACAAAGGGAGCACUAUUUCUUUUGCAGUGACAAACAUCAUGGAUACACACUGAAAGAGCCACUCUACCUUCUGGUCUGUAC